Molecule: ribosomal RNA, 808 nt
Filed under: Dorysthenes fossatus
Lineage: Eukaryota; Metazoa; Arthropoda; Insecta; Coleoptera; Cerambycidae
Description: partial 12S ribosomal RNA
Source: RNAcentral
AACAGUAUAAUUUAAUUUUUUUGGUUAUUAGUUGAAUUAAUAUUUUGUAUUUUAAUUUUAAGUUUAUAAGGUGGAAUUUGUAAAUUUAAUGGUAAAAUGAAUUUUAUAUUUUGAGGCUAAGAAAUUCGUUGAUAAACUAGGAUUAGAUACCCUAUUAUUUUGAAUGUAAAUUUUUAUGCUGGGCUAGUAUAAGUUAUGUUCUUUAAAAUUAAAGAUUUUGGCGGUAUUUUAGUCCAUUCAGAGGAACCUGUCCUAUAAUUGAUGAUCCACGAGUUAAAGUACUUCUUUAAUGUUUGUAUAUCGUCGUAGUUUGAAUAUUUUUUAAGAAUAAUAAUGUUCAUGAUUUUUUUAGAAAAGAUAUCAGAUCAAGGUGCAGCUUGUAGAGAAGGAGAGAUGGGUUACAAUAAAUUUAUUUAGGAGAAUUAAAUAUUUUGUGAAGUGUUAUGAAUUUGGAUUUGAGGGUAAUUUUAAUUAAAUAAUUAAAGUGAUUUAGGCUCUAAAAUAUGCACAUAUCGCCCGUCGCUUUCACCUUAAAGUGAAAUAAGUCGUAACAUAGUAGGCCUACCGGAAGGUGGGCCUGGAUAGAUCAAGUAAGAGCUUGUAAUAAAGCGUUUUAUUUACAUUAAAGAGUGAGUUGUGGAAUUCAAUUUUACUUGAAUUUGAUUUUUUAUUAUUAUUUAAAAUUUUAUUUUGAUUUUCAUAAGAAUAUUAAGGUUUAAUUAUUUGUUAAGAAAUAAUUUUUAUUAUUAUAGUUAAUUAGUAUUGCAAAAGAAGAGAUUCAAAUUUUAAGAGGAAAAAUUAAAUGUUU